Molecule: ribosomal RNA, 433 nt
Filed under: uncultured bacterium
Lineage: Bacteria
Description: partial 16S ribosomal RNA
Rfam family: Bacterial small subunit ribosomal RNA
Source: RNAcentral
AACGAACGCUGGCGGCAUGCCUAACACAUGCAAGUCGAACGAGACCUUCGGGUCUAUUCUCCCACGGCUUCGUAACGCGUGGGAACCUUCCCUUAGGUUCGGAAUACCUCCCCGACUGGGGUGCUAAUACCGGAUAAUGUCUUCGGACCAAAGAUUUAUCGCCUUUGGAUGUUCCCUCGUUGGAUUAGCUUGUUGGUAGGGUAAAAGCCUACCAAGGCGACGAUCCAUAGCUGGUCUGAGAGGAUGAUCAGCCACACUGGGACUGAGAAACGGCCCAGACUCAUACGGGAGGGAGGAGUGGGGAAUAGUGGAAAAUGGGCGAAAGCAUGAUCCAGCAAUGACGGGUGAGUGAUGAAGGCAUUAGGGUUGUAAAGCUCAUUUAACCGGGAAGAUAAUGACAGUACCGGGAGAAUAAGCUACGGCUAACUCCGUG